UAGUUCAUAGAAAAAUGUACAAGAAUAUUGAUGACCUUUGUGUUGAUCCUUAGGUGAAAAAGUGGAUUGAGAGACACCGGUUGAGUUGGAGAAGAAAGGACUGAAUUAUGUGUUUUCAGAAAGAAUGUUCUGGAUUCUUGGCAUCAAGAAACAGGAUGACCCACACACAGAUGCACUUUCCCGAGUAGCCAUAGAAUAUAAACUAUAGCAAAACAACUUCAAUGUGUCAGGGAAAAAGGCAGCAAGAUCUCAGCCUUUCGAAGUUGGAAUUACCAAUGUACUUUAUGGUCACAUAUAUCAUCGUAUGGAGCUGAUCCCAUGAGAGUAUCAUUUGAUAGAAGAACAAAGCAAGUCAGGACGAGCUUAACUAAUCUCCCCAUUUGUCACAGAGCCUUGCUUCUCUCCCUCUGAGGCCAUGUUUGAAUUGGAAUAUUGCUAAUUUCCCACAAGUUGAGGAUUCAUGCAACAAAAUUGUCUCUUUGUUAGCUGUACUUGUGGUUCUGAGGUGG
RNAcentral lists this long non-coding RNA (509 nucleotides) under Rattus norvegicus (Norway rat). Its description in RNAcentral is "long non-coding RNA NONRATT031684". Lineage: Eukaryota; Metazoa; Chordata; Mammalia; Rodentia; Muridae. The record is from RNAcentral.